Molecule: small nucleolar RNA, 138 nt
Filed under: Anabas testudineus (climbing perch)
Lineage: Eukaryota; Metazoa; Chordata; Actinopteri; Anabantiformes; Anabantidae
Description: Small nucleolar RNA SNORA22 (ENSATEG00000007834.2)
Rfam family: Small nucleolar RNA SNORA22
About the family: ACA22 is a member of the H/ACA class of snoRNA that guide the sites of modification of uridines to pseudouridines.
Source: Rfam by way of RNAcentral
CUGCACAGCGAACACCCAGGGGGCGCCAUCGUGGCACUCCCUGGUCUCCUGAGUCUGUGCUAUAGUGACUCUGAUCUUUUCCUCUGCAUUAGGAGAGUUUUGGUCUCUUCUACAUGUAUUCAGCUGAUCAGCACAACC